CAUUAGGUGGCUGAAAGUAAGCACUGGUCUCUUAAACCAUAUAAUGGUAAUUAACUCCUACCCCUAAUG
This 69-nucleotide transfer RNA is filed under the name Habroloma sp. RNAcentral describes it as "tRNA-Lys". It matches the Rfam family "tRNA". From Rfam's summary of the family: Transfer RNA (tRNA) molecules are approximately 80 nucleotides in length. Their secondary structure includes four short double-helical elements and three loops (D, anti-codon, and T loops). Further hydrogen bonds mediate the characteristic L-shaped molecular structure. tRNAs have two regions of fundamental functional importance: the anti-codon, which is responsible for specific mRNA codon recognition, and the 3' end, to which the tRNAs corresponding amino acid is attached (by aminoacyl-tRNA synthetases). tRNAs cope with the degeneracy of the genetic code in two manners: having more than one tRNA (with a specific anti-codon) for a particular amino acid; and 'wobble' base-pairing, i.e. permitting non-standard base-pairing at the 3rd anti-codon position. Lineage: Eukaryota; Metazoa; Arthropoda; Insecta; Coleoptera; Buprestidae. The record is from RNAcentral.